RNAcentral lists this ribosomal RNA (396 nucleotides) under uncultured soil bacterium. RNAcentral's name for it is "bacterial SSU rRNA". It matches the Rfam family "Bacterial small subunit ribosomal RNA", at positions 30 to 412 of the family's 1533-position model. The record is from RNAcentral.
GGCCUGAACGCUGGCGGCGUGGCUAAGACAUGCAAGUCGCACGGUGUAGCAAUACACAGUGGCGAACGGGUGAGUAAUGAAUCGCUAAUGUACCCCGGACUCUGGGAUAGCUACCCGAAAGGGUAGGUAAUACCAGAUGAGACCACGGCAUCGCAUGAUGUUGUGCUCAAAGGUCCGCCGGUCUGGGAGCGAGGCGAUUUCGUAUCAGCUAGUUGGUGAGGUAACGGCUCACCAAGGCGACGACGCGUAGCCGGACGUGAGAGGUUGGACCGGCCAACGCUUAGGGGACCUGGAGACGACCUGCCCCGAGACCUCCGUACGGGGGGCUGCGAGUAACGAAUCCGUUCCGACAAUGCACGAAAGUGUACGACGGACGCGACGCCGCGUGAGGACGAA